Molecule: long non-coding RNA, 406 nt
Filed under: Carica papaya (papaya)
Lineage: Eukaryota; Viridiplantae; Streptophyta; Magnoliopsida; Brassicales; Caricaceae
Description: long non-coding RNA (CPAP_LNC008589)
Source: RNAcentral
AGGAGGCAUGCUCACAUGUGCGCUAGUCUGUUGGCGUGUGGAUGACCUGCGCGCUUUCCCCAGUGCGUGCGACUCCUCCUCGCGCGCAACACAACGUUCGUGAGUGUGAUGCUUCCCCUCGCGUGCGACCUUAUUCGUGCGGGACAUGUGCUGCUGUCCAUAUUUCGAGGCCGAAUGAUCUUUCUAUUUUAUCGGGUUGGGCCAAAAGUUGUUUUUCAACUUCACCUUGCAAUCAUUCAAGCCCAUGAAUAGCCACUUGGGCUUUAAGUAUGCUUUGAACAUACUUGGCCCAUUCUUUAGAGCAAUCCCAUUAAGGAAACUGUUUAAGAGCAUGACUACUUUUCUCUUUCAGCUUAGGAAGCAAAAAGAAUUCGAAACUGAUUGCCUGUUUGGGACAGGACUUUGC